AUGGCCGAGGCCUCCCGGUACCAGAUCCUGGUGCGGCUUCUCGACGGCCGCACCCACUGCCUCCGGUUCCCGACGCCCACCGUCUCCGGCGCGGCGCUCCUCGACGCCGUGUCCGCGCUCUCCCGCGUCCCCGCCGCCUCCCUCCGCCUCGUCACCGGCCGCCUCGACGUCUCGCCUUCCUCCGUCCUCGCGUCCUUCCCCGACGGGCAAUUCCCCUCCGCGUCCGCGCUCCUACGCCUCCGCGGCGGCAAGGGCGGGUUCGGCUCCCUCCUCCGUGGGGCCGCCUCCAAGGCCGGCCAGAAGAAGACCAGCAACUUCGACGCCUGCCGCGACAUAAACGGCCGCCGGCUCCGCCACGUCAACGCCGAGCGCCGCCUCGAGGAGUGGAGGGCCGAGGCCGCGGAUCGCCAGCUCGAGAAGCUUGCCGAGGACUUCCUCAAGAAGAAGGCCAAAGAGUCAGGCCGCGGCGGCGCCCGAGCUGCCGAGGUCGACAAGUACCUUGAGAAGUACCGCAAGGAUGCCGAGAGCUGCGUCAAUGCCGUGGAGGAGUCGGUCCGUGCCUCCCUUGGGAAGAGGAAGGCUGUCCCCAAGCCACGUGAUGCAAAGAAGCUUAAAAUUUGGAUGGGCAAGAAGAAAGUAGCAGAUGAUGAGAGUGACAGUGACAGUGACAGUGAUGUGGAUGAUAAUGAGGGUGCAGAUGCAAAACCCAUAGCUCUUGAUCAUGGGAAUUACUCAAAUGAAUCUGACAAAAGUGAGGAGGAGAAGGUUGAUCUGGCUUCAGUUUCUGGGUCACAUUCAGAAGGAGAGUCCUCAGGUGAGAAGUCCCAGAGCAGUGAUUCAGAGAAAAAUGGAAAUGCUCUUCAGGAAUCCAUGGAAGUAAAGAUUAGAUCAGGAUGUGAUUUUGAGUCGGGGGGUAGUUUGGAGUGUGAGGGGGGAAUGGCAGUUCAGCCUGCUCCUGAGAACACUUCUGCAAAUGGAACUUCUGAGAAUGGUAAGAGUGCUCUUUCAGAACAAGUUCUGAAAUCAGAUGCUCCUGAGAACACUUCUGAAAAUGGAACUUCUGAGAAUGGUAAGAGUGCUCUUUCAGAAGAAGUUCUGAAAUCAGAUGAUAAAACAGAUGUGGAUAACACCGGUUCAGCUACAUCAUCACUCCUUAAUGACCCUGUGGUGCCUCCAGUAGAAGAAUCUGCUGAUGUAAAUAACAAGCCACUUCUUUCAGAGGAGCCUGUGGACCUGGCAACAUUCAGUUCAGCAGCAGAAUUGGAGGCACUUGGCAUGGAGAAGCUAAAGCUGGAGCUCCAGACUCAUGGACUAAAAUGUGGUGGCACUUUAAAAGAGCGCGCGGCCAGACUGUUCCUUCUGAAAACAACCCCACUGGAUAAACUACCAAAGAAGCUGCUUGCGAAACCCAACUCUGGAGGGAAGUGA
This 1428-nucleotide ribosomal RNA is filed under the name Triticum aestivum (bread wheat). Its description in RNAcentral is "partial small subunit ribosomal RNA". The record is from RNAcentral. Lineage: Eukaryota; Viridiplantae; Streptophyta; Magnoliopsida; Poales; Poaceae.